This 440-nucleotide ribosomal RNA is filed under the name uncultured bacterium. Its description in RNAcentral is "partial 16S ribosomal RNA". It matches the Rfam family "Bacterial small subunit ribosomal RNA", at positions 338 to 795 of the family's 1533-position model. The record is from RNAcentral.
CCUACGGGAGGCUGCAGUAGGGAAUAUUGCUCAAUGGGGGAAACCCUGAAGCAGCAACGCCGCGUGGAGGAUGAAGGUUUUCGGAUUGUAAACUCCUUUUGUUAGAGAAGAUAAUGACGGUAUCUAACGAAUAAGCACCGGCUAACUCCGUGCCAGCAGCCGCGGUAAUACGGAGGGUGCAAGCGUUACUCGGAAGCACUGGGCGUAAAGCGCGCGUAGGCGGGGUAGCAAGUCAGAUGUGAAAUCCUAUGGGUUAACCAUAGAACUGCAUUUGAAACUGUUAUUCUAGAGUAUGGGAGAGGUAGGUGGAAUUCUGGGUGUAGGGGUGAAAUCCGUAGAGAUCAAGAGGAAUACUCAUUGCGAAGGCGACCUGCUAGAACAUAACUGACGCUGAUGCGCGAAAGCGUGGGGAGCAAACAGGAUUAGAUACCCGGGUAGUC